Molecule: ribosomal RNA, 449 nt
Filed under: uncultured organism
Description: partial 16S ribosomal RNA
Rfam family: Bacterial small subunit ribosomal RNA
Source: RNAcentral
CGUACACUCCUACGGGAGGCAGCAGUGGGGAAUAUUGGACAAUGGGCGCAAGCCUGAUCCAGCCAUGCCGCGUGAGUGAUGAAGGCCCUAGGGUUGUAAAGCUCUUUCACCGGUGAAGAUAAUGACGGUAACCGGAGAAGAAGCCCCGGCUAACUUCGUGCCAGCAGCCGCGGUAAUACGAAGGGGGCUAGCGUUGUUCGGAUUUACUGGGCGUAAAGCGCACGUAGGCGGACUAUUAAGUCAGGGGUGAAAUCCCGGGGCUCAACCCCGGAACUGCCUUUGAUACUGGUAGUCUUGAGUUCGAGAGAGGUGAGUGGAAUUCCGAGUGUAGAGGUGAAAUUCGUAGAUAUUCGGAGGAACACCAGUGGCGAAGGCGGCUCACUGGCUCGAUACUGACGCUGAGGUGCGAAAGCGUGGGGAGCAAACAGGAUUAGAAACCCUAGUAGUCC